This 104-nucleotide transfer RNA is filed under the name Escovopsis weberi. It matches the Rfam family "tRNA". Rfam says of the family: Transfer RNA (tRNA) molecules are approximately 80 nucleotides in length. Their secondary structure includes four short double-helical elements and three loops (D, anti-codon, and T loops). Further hydrogen bonds mediate the characteristic L-shaped molecular structure. tRNAs have two regions of fundamental functional importance: the anti-codon, which is responsible for specific mRNA codon recognition, and the 3' end, to which the tRNAs corresponding amino acid is attached (by aminoacyl-tRNA synthetases). tRNAs cope with the degeneracy of the genetic code in two manners: having more than one tRNA (with a specific anti-codon) for a particular amino acid; and 'wobble' base-pairing, i.e. permitting non-standard base-pairing at the 3rd anti-codon position. The record is from Rfam by way of RNAcentral. Lineage: Eukaryota; Fungi; Ascomycota; Sordariomycetes; Hypocreales; Hypocreaceae.
GUGGCCUUAGCUCAGCUGGGAGAGCGUCAGACUGAAGUUGCACUUCGAGUCCUGGAUUCUUACGAAUCAUCUGAAGGUCGUGUGUUCGAGCCACACAGGCCACA